RNAcentral lists this ribosomal RNA (599 nucleotides) under Georgenia soli. RNAcentral's name for it is "bacterial SSU rRNA". It matches the Rfam family "Bacterial small subunit ribosomal RNA", at positions 91 to 704 of the family's 1533-position model. Lineage: Bacteria; Bacillati; Actinomycetota; Actinomycetes; Allobogoriellales; Allobogoriellaceae. The record is from RNAcentral.
AUCAGUGGCGAACGGGUGAGUAACACGUGAGCAACCUGCCCUUCACUUCGGGAUAACCUCGGGAAAUCGGGGCUAAUACCGGAUAUGACUCCUGCUCGCAUGGGUGGGGGUGGAAAGAUUUAUCGGUGAGGGAUGGGCUCGCGGCCUAUCAGCUUGUUGGUGGGGUAAUGGCCUACCAAGGCGUCGACGGGUAGCCGGCCUGAGAGGGUGACCGGCCACACUGGGACUGAGACACGGCCCAGACUCCUACGGGAGGCAGCAGUGGGGAAUAUUGCACAAUGGGCGAAAGCCUGAUGCAGCGACGCCGCGUGAGGGAUGACGGCCUUCGGGUUGUAAACCUCUUUCAGCAGGGAAGAAGCGAAAGUGACGGUACCUGCAGAAGAAGCGCCGGCUAACUACGUGCCAGCAGCCGCGGUAAUACGUAGGGCGCAAGCGUUGUCCGGAAUUAUUGGGCGUAAAGAGCUCGUAGGCGGUUUGUCGCGUCUGCUGUGAAAACGCGGGGCUCAACCCCGCGCCUGCAGUGGGUACGGGCAGACUAGAGUGUGGUAGGGGAGACUGGAAUUCCUGGUGUAGCGGUAAAAUGCGCAGAUAUCAGGAGG